CCCUUAGAUGUUCUGGGCCGCACGCGCGCUACACUGACGAAUGCAACGAGCUUAUAACCUUGGCCGAAAGGUCUGGGUAAUCUCCAAAUUUCGUCGUGAUGGGGAUAGAUUAUUGCAAUUAUUAAUCUUCAACGAGGAAUGCCUAGUAAGCGCAAGUCAUCAGCUUGCGUUGAUUACGUCCCUGCCCUUUGUACACACCGCCCGUCGCUCCUACCGAUUGAAUGUGUUGGUGAGGAGCUCGGAUUGGCAGCAGUUGGUGGUUCGCCACCGGCUAUUGCUGAGAAGUCCUCCAAACCGCCCCAUUUAGAGGAAGGAGAAGUCGUANCA
RNAcentral lists this ribosomal RNA (327 nucleotides) under uncultured eukaryote. RNAcentral's name for it is "partial 18S ribosomal RNA". It matches the Rfam family "Eukaryotic small subunit ribosomal RNA", at positions 1470 to 1796 of the family's 1831-position model. The record is from RNAcentral.